RNAcentral lists this small RNA (34 nucleotides) under Arabidopsis thaliana (thale cress). RNAcentral's name for it is "ATSL300570". Lineage: Eukaryota; Viridiplantae; Streptophyta; Magnoliopsida; Brassicales; Brassicaceae. The record is from RNAcentral.
UUUGUUUUUUGUUUGUGUAAAAAAAAAUGAAAAA